RNAcentral lists this microRNA precursor (76 nucleotides) under Gossypium raimondii (Peruvian cotton). RNAcentral describes it as "miR8757b stem-loop (gra-MIR8757b)". It matches the Rfam family "MIR8757 microRNA precursor family". The record is from miRBase by way of RNAcentral. Lineage: Eukaryota; Viridiplantae; Streptophyta; Magnoliopsida; Malvales; Malvaceae.
UAUUUUGGGUUGGGUCGAGCUUAGGCAAGCAUAAUGUAUGUUAAUAUCUUGCUUAGGCCCGACCCGACUAGAACUA